RNAcentral lists this ribosomal RNA (479 nucleotides) under uncultured bacterium. RNAcentral's name for it is "partial 16S ribosomal RNA". It matches the Rfam family "Bacterial small subunit ribosomal RNA", at positions 28 to 507 of the family's 1533-position model. The record is from RNAcentral.
GACGAACGCUGGCGGCGCGCUUAACACAUGCAAGUCGAGCGAUGAAAUUUCGACAGAUCCCUUCGGGGUGAAGAUGAAAUGGAUUAGCAGCGGACGGGUGAGUAACACGUGAGUAACCUGCCUUUGACAUUGGGAUAGCCUCGGGAAACUGGGAUUAAUACCAAAUGACACUAACUGAUCACAUGAUCAAUUAGUCAAAGAAAUUCGGUCAAAGAUGGGCUCGCGGCUGAUUAGCUAGUUGGUGAGGUAACGGCCCACCAAGGCGACGAUCAGUAGCCGGCCUGAGAGGGUGAUCGGCCACAUUGGAACUGAGACACGGUCCAAACUCCUACGGGAGGCAGCAGUGGGAAAUAUUGCACAAUGGGGGAAACCCUGAUGCAGCGACGCCGCGUGAGCGAAGAAGGCCUUCGGGUCGUAAAGCUCUUUUAUGAGGGAAGAUAAUGACGGUACCUCAAGAAAUAGCCCCGGCUAACUACGUG